This is a long non-coding RNA of Lineus longissimus, 518 nucleotides long. RefSeq lists it as uncharacterized. The transcript has 5 exons. The record is from RefSeq and is a predicted model, not a curated record. NCBI's taxonomy places the organism in Eukaryota, Metazoa, Nemertea, Pilidiophora, Heteronemertea, Lineidae.
AACGAUCUGACAACGUGCGAUCUUAAUUUUCAAACAUUCCAUUUCUAAUCUGGUCUAAUUAUUCAAGAAACUUAUUCACUUGUCUUGACAACCUUGAAUAUCAAUAUCAUCCAAUCAUAGCGCUCUAAUUGGCGCAUGCUCAGAAGCCGUGUAAAGGAAUGAUGAAGUGUCAAUGCACCAUAAGCGUUACUUUUCUGGAAUCUUUCCGCGAUACUAAACGGCUGUUCGAGUAAAGCAGGUGUUUCGUUUAACGUCGAGAGAAUUGUCUUCGAGCAGAAAUAAAGAUGAGGACGGUUUUGGUGAUGCUUUUGUUUCUCUCCAUUAUUGUUUACAGCCAGGCGUGUGACUGCACAAUAUCAAGCGAUGUCCCAAAGGAAAGGCCCUGCAAGUGUGAAUGGAAUCCAAAUGCCCCAGAUUAUGGGAAGAUAACGAUGGAGAUAACACCGUUAGAUAAUUGACAAGGCCACGUGACAAUGAUUGGCAUGCCCAAAUAGAUGUAGAGAAACAAUGAUUGACAG